UGGGGAAUAUUGCACAAUGGGCGCAAGCCUGAUGCAGCAACGCCGCGUGAGGGAAGACGGUUUUCGGAUUGUAAACCUUUGUCUUUGGUGAAGAAGAAAGUGACGGUAACCAAGGAGGAAGCCACGGCUAACUACGUGCCAGCAGCCGCGGUAAUACGUAGGUGGCAAGCGUUGUCCGGAAUUACUGGGUGUAAAGGGAGCGCAGGCGGGACUGCAAGUUGGAUGUGAAAUACCGAGGCUCAACCUCGGAGCUGCAUCCAAAACUGUAGUUCUUGAGUGAAGUAGAGGUAGGCGGAAUUCCGAGUGUAGCGGUGAAAUGCGUAGAUAUUCGGAGGAACACCAGUGGCGAAGGCGGCCUACUGGGCUUUAACUGACGCUGAGGCUCGAAAGUGUGGGGAGCAAACAGG
Molecule: ribosomal RNA, 407 nt
Filed under: uncultured bacterium
Lineage: Bacteria
Description: bacterial SSU rRNA
Rfam family: Bacterial small subunit ribosomal RNA
Source: RNAcentral